This 489-nucleotide ribosomal RNA is filed under the name uncultured bacterium. RNAcentral's name for it is "partial 16S ribosomal RNA". It matches the Rfam family "Bacterial small subunit ribosomal RNA", at positions 28 to 506 of the family's 1533-position model. The record is from RNAcentral.
GAUGAACGCUAGCGAUAGGCUUAACACAUGCAAGUCGAGGGGCAGCAUGGUCUUAGCUUGCUAAGACUGAUGGCGACCGGCGCACGGGUGCGUAACGCGUAUGCAACUUGCCUCACAGAGGGGGAUAACCCGUCGAAAGACGGACUAAUACCGCGUACACUUGGGAUAGGGCAUCCUGACCCAAGGAAAUGAAAUUAGCUGUGAGAUAGGCAUGCGUCCCAUUAGCUAGUUGGUGAGGUAACGGCUCACCAAGGCGACGAUGGGUAGGGGAACUGAGAGGUUGACCCCCCACACUGGUACUGAGACACGGACCAGACUCCUACGGGAGGCAGCAGUGAGGAAUAUUGGUCAAUGGGCGAGAGCCUGAACCAGCCAAGUCGCGUGAAGGAUGACUGUCUUAUGGAUUGUAAACUUCUUUUAUACGGGAAUAACAAGAGUCACGUGUGGCUCCCUGCAUGUACCGUAUGAAUAAGCAUCGGCUAACUCCGU